AAAAAACCAUAUGCCCUCCUUAAUUAUUUAUCCCCUCCUUUUAUCCUUUUUUGUUAGCGGCUCAAAAUUCGUUAUCUUUCU
Molecule: transfer RNA, 81 nt
Filed under: Succisa pratensis
Lineage: Eukaryota; Viridiplantae; Streptophyta; Magnoliopsida; Dipsacales; Caprifoliaceae
Description: partial transfer RNA-Leu
Source: RNAcentral